GAUCAUGGCUCAGGAUGAACGCUGGCGGCGUGCUUAAUACAUGCAAGUCGAACGAAGCACCUUGGACAGAAUCUUUCGGGAUGAAGACCAUUGUGACUGAGUGGCGGACGGGUGAGUAACGCGUGGGUAACCUGCCUUGUACAGGGGGAUAACAGUUGGAAACGACUGCUAAUACCGCAUAAGCGCACAGUACCGCAUGGUACGGUGUGAAAAACUCCGGUGGUACAAGAUGGACCCGCGU
Molecule: ribosomal RNA, 241 nt
Filed under: uncultured bacterium
Lineage: Bacteria
Description: partial 16S ribosomal RNA
Rfam family: Bacterial small subunit ribosomal RNA
Source: RNAcentral